GGCUCCCUGCCGUGUUCGUGAUAGCUGGCUGUGUCUUGAGCCAACACCCUUGUCACGGGUGCCACAAUAGAGCGAUGGACCGCCGCUGGUCUCACAGCAGCGCAAAGUCGUUCUGAGGCGCCCUGGCUUAUAUCGGGGUUCAUAGACCUGUCGCUGCACGGCACGUGCGGGGUUUUG
RNAcentral lists this non-coding RNA (177 nucleotides) under Caldifarciminota bacterium. Its description in RNAcentral is "candidate division WOR-3 bacterium (sediment metagenome) 6S RNA". It matches the Rfam family "6S / SsrS RNA". From Rfam's summary of the family: E. coli 6S RNA was the first non coding RNA to be sequenced, but its function was unknown until recently. It consists of 184 nucleotides that fold into an extended hairpin structure with a large single-stranded internal bulge. The record is from RNAcentral. Lineage: Bacteria; Pseudomonadati; Caldifarciminota.